Molecule: ribosomal RNA, 406 nt
Filed under: uncultured bacterium
Lineage: Bacteria
Description: partial 16S ribosomal RNA
Rfam family: Bacterial small subunit ribosomal RNA
Source: RNAcentral
AUUGAACGCUGGCGGCAGGCCUAACACAUGCAAGUCGGUCGAGCGGCGGACGGGUGAGUAAUGUAUGGGGAUCUGCCUGAUGGCGGGGGAUAACUACUGGAAACGGUAGCUAAUACCGCAUACCAUCAGAUGAACCCAUAUGGGAUUAGCUAGUAGGUAAGGUAACGGCUCACCUAGGCGACGAUCCCUAGCUGGUCUGCGAGGAUGACCAGCCACACUGGAACUGAGACACGGCCCAGACUCCUACGGGAGGCAGCAGUGGGGAAUAUUGCACAAGGGGAGAAAGCCUGAUGCAGCCAUGCCGCGUGUAUGAAGAAGGCCUUCGGGUUGUAAAGUACUGUCAGUCGGGAGGCGUUACCGACAGAAGAAGCACCGGCUAACUCCGUGCCAGCAGCCGCGGUAAUAC